UUUUGUGGUUGUGUCCACGUGGAGAGACGAUCAUGUGCAAACCAGUCUGUUCGUGCGCUCUUGAAUCGGUUUAAACUAUUUCCUUUUAUAAUACGUAUGAUUAUGUUGAAAACCAGAAGGAAAGUGCACGUGUGCCAUCAUGUCACAUGCUGACAAACCAUGAGGGCCAGGAAAAAAAUCAUAUAUGCCAUAAAUUUGAUUAAUCCACGGGAAAUGCAGUAAAUGGCUACAUUAACAUGGACAGGACUACGUGACACUUGAUUCUCCAAGGAUUGAUUUCUUCCUAUAUGAGGUAAAUGAACCCUCAUUAAAGGACUAGUGUUGUGUAAGGUGAGUUCUGCUAACUUGGAGUCAAAACCACUUGAUUGUGUCAUGACUUUAUUUGUUUUGUAAAGAUUUGUGUGGUAAACCUGGAUUCAAUAAGGGAAUUGUUUAUAUAACGUUUUACAAAGUAUAUUAAGUGUGUAAAAGGAAAGUAUGUAUGUGCAUGUUGUUUUGUGUCUUUUUUUCACCCCAGAUGUUGUUUCUGUAUGUG
Molecule: long non-coding RNA, 535 nt
Organism: Danio aesculapii
Lineage: Eukaryota; Metazoa; Chordata; Actinopteri; Cypriniformes; Danionidae
Exons: 4
Source: RefSeq, a predicted model, not a curated record